Molecule: ribosomal RNA, 429 nt
Filed under: uncultured bacterium
Lineage: Bacteria
Description: bacterial SSU rRNA
Rfam family: Bacterial small subunit ribosomal RNA
Source: RNAcentral
UGGGGAAUCUUGCACAAUGGGCGAAAGCCUGAUGCAGCAAUGCCGCGUGAGUGAUGAAGGCCUUCGGGUUGUAAAUCUCUGUCGGUUGGGAAAAACGCAUUUUUAUUUAAUAAAUAAAGGUGGUGAUGGUACCAGCAAAGGAAGGGGCGGCUAACUCUGUGCCAGCAGCCGCGGUAAUACAGAGGCCUCGAGCGUUGUUCGGAAUUACUGGGCGUAAAGGGAAUGUAGGCGGUGACGUAAGUCAGAUGUGAAAGCCCUGGGCUUAACCCGGGAAGUGCAUUUGAUACUGCGUUGCUAGAGUGCGAGAGAGGAGAGCGGAAUUCCAGGUGUAGGGGUGAAAUCCGUAGAUAUCUGGAGGAAUACCGAUGGCGAAGGCAGCUCUCUGGCUCGCAACUGACGCUGAGAUUCGAAAGCAUGGGUAGCAAACAG